Molecule: ribosomal RNA, 477 nt
Filed under: uncultured organism
Description: partial 16S ribosomal RNA
Rfam family: Bacterial small subunit ribosomal RNA
Source: RNAcentral
GUACACUCCUGCGGCAGGCAGCAGUGGGGAAUUUUGGACAAUGGGCGAAAGCCUGAUCCAGCAAUGCCGCGUGAGUGAAGAAGGCCUUCGGGUUGUAAAGCUCUUUUGUCAGGGAAGAAACGGUGAGAGCUAAUAUCUUUUGCUAAUGACGGUACCUGAAGAAUAAGCACCGGCUAACUACGUGCCAGCAGCCGCGGUAAUACGUAGGGUGCAAGCGUUAAUCGGAAUUACUGGGCGUAAAGCGUGCGCAGGCGGUUUUGUAAGUCUGAUGUGAAAUCCCCGGGCUCAACCUGGGAAUUGCAUUGGAGACUGCAAGGCUAGAAUCUGGCAGAGGGGGGUAGAAUUCCACGUGUAGCAGUGAAAUGCGUAGAUAUGUGGAGGAACACCGAUGGCGAAGGCAGCCCCCUGGGUCAAGAUUGACGCUCAUGCACGAAAGCGUGGGGAGCAAACAGGAUUAGAAACCCGGGUAGUCCCAUG